CGCACAUUGCGCCCAUUAGUAUUCUAGUGGGCAUGCCUGUUCGAGCGUCAUUAAGUCCAUUAAGCCCUGUUGCUUAUCGUUGGGAGCCCGCUGGCGCAAGCCUGCAGCUCCUCAAAAUUAGUGGCGGAGUUAGCGUAUACUCUAGGCGUAGUAAUUUCAACUCGCUUCUGUAGUUGCGCUGGCGCCUGCCGUAAAACCCACCAAAUUUUAAAUGGUUGACCUCGGAUCAGGUAGGAAUACCCGCUGAACUUAA
Molecule: unclassified non-coding RNA, 253 nt
Filed under: Xylariales sp.
Lineage: Eukaryota; Fungi; Ascomycota; Sordariomycetes; Xylariales
Description: partial contains 5.8S ribosomal RNA, internal transcribed spacer 2, and large subunit ribosomal RNA
Source: RNAcentral